UACGGAGGGUGCGAGCGUUAAUCGGAAUUACUGGGCGUAAAGCGCGCGUAGGUGGCUAGAUAAGUCGGAUGUGAAAGCCCCGGGCUUAACCUGGGAACUGCAUUCGAUACUGUCUGACUAGAGUAUGGUAGAGGAAAGCGGAAUUCCCGGUGUAGCGGUGAAAUGCGUAGAUAUCGGGAGGAACAUCAGUGGCGAAGGCGGCUUUCUGGACCAAUACUGACGCUGAGGCGCGAAAGCGUGGGUAG
This 245-nucleotide ribosomal RNA is filed under the name uncultured bacterium. RNAcentral describes it as "partial 16S ribosomal RNA". It matches the Rfam family "Bacterial small subunit ribosomal RNA", at positions 524 to 768 of the family's 1533-position model. The record is from RNAcentral.